Long non-coding RNA from Sesamum indicum (sesame), 972 nucleotides. RefSeq lists it as uncharacterized. The record is from RefSeq and is a predicted model, not a curated record. NCBI's taxonomy places the organism in Eukaryota, Viridiplantae, Streptophyta, Magnoliopsida, Lamiales, Pedaliaceae.
AAAAUGUAACUUCCAUGCCUUCUGCUACCUCGUGUCGAGCUUUGCGGUUCAAGAAACAAACACAUAUAUGCACAACAUCACUCACACACUCUCACUCAACACACAAUCACACUUCACGUUUACUCAAACCUUUUCUCCCUUAACACAGUUAUUGCAUAACACUAUUCAAGUCCAUAGAGUACUGAGAGCGGAAAGCACUAGGAACAUUACCUCUGACUCCUUAAACGGUCGAGAAAUGGCAGAAAACUCCAAAAACAAUUCUUCAAGAACGUAUAUCGAAGAUUUUGGCUGUGUAAUUUUGUCUGCACCGAAUUCAAAUUCACCCUAUGAAGAUUCCGGUGAUGUGCUAUCACAAGAUCCCAUCUCUUGUACUCUGUCGGCAAGUUUAAUUGAGCCUCAGGUUUAGUUAGCAUUGAAGACUGUCAACAACAUCAUCACCCAUGACCAAGAUUGGAAGUGGUACAAGUUGAAAGUGCCAUUUACUCUACUUGAGAGAGAACCUUUGUCACGAAGUAUUUCAUGUGGAUUUGGAAUGAAAGAUAUCAACUAACAAAGGCAGCAACGCAUCGAUCCCGACAUGGACAUACAAAUGGUGGUGCAGCAUGUCAUUAUGGGUCAUGACUAAUGCUAAAUUUAUGCAGCAUGGUGAUGAUACAAUUUGUGAUGAAGGUGUUAGUAACCAAAAUCUAAUGUGGCCAAAUUGGAGAGUCGCAAUGUUGAAACAACUAAAUUGGCAUGCACGUAGGGUGGUAAGUAUACUAGCAAUGUGGUUGUGGGGAACCGAAGAUUAUUAAAUGACUAUCAAAUCUAUCCAUAUUGAUGGUGGUGGGUUCCAAGAUAUAAAACAUAGAGGCAAAUUUUGCACAGAGCUAUGCAGUUAUGUGGUUCUUGAUUCAGGACGUUGUCAUCCAUAUUGAAUGUAAUAGUUAUAACCAUUGGUGAGAUGAUGGUACAAAUAAAAAAAGGCAUACU